GGGGCUGAUUCUGGAUUCGACGGGAUUUGCGAAACUCAAGGUGCAUGCCGAGGGGCGGUUGGCCUCGUAAAAAGCCGCAAAAAAUAGUCGCAAACGACGAAAACUACGCUUUAGCAGCUUAAUAACCUGCUUAGAGCCCUCUCUCCCUAGCCUCCGCUCUUAGGACGGGGAUCAAGAGAGGUCAAACCCAAAAGAGAUCGCGUGGAAGCCCUGCCUGGGGUUGAAGCGUUAAAACUUAAUCAGGCUAGUUUGUUAGUGGCGUGUCCGUCCGCAGCUGGCAAGCGAAUGUAAAGACUGACUAAGCAUGUAGUACCGAGGACGUAGGAAUUUCGGACGCGGGUUCAACUCCCGCCAGCUCCACCA
RNAcentral lists this transfer-messenger RNA (363 nucleotides) under Escherichia coli. It matches the Rfam family "transfer-messenger RNA". From Rfam's summary of the family: Bacterial tmRNA, also known as 10Sa RNA or SsrA, is named for its dual tRNA and mRNA-like properties. Its role is to liberate the mRNA from a stalled ribosome. Lineage: Bacteria; Pseudomonadati; Pseudomonadota; Gammaproteobacteria; Enterobacterales; Enterobacteriaceae. The record is from RNAcentral.